UAGCUAAAUGCGGAAGAGAUAAGUGCUGAAAGCAUCUAAGCACGAAACUUGCCCCGAGAUGAGUUCUCCCUGACUCCUUGAGAGUCCUGAAGGAACGUUGAAGACGACGACGUUGAUAGGCCGGGUGUGUAAGCGCAGCGAUGCGUUGAGCUAACCGGUACUAAUGAACCGUGAGGCUUAACCUUACAACGCCGAAGGUGUUU
This 203-nucleotide ribosomal RNA is filed under the name Escherichia coli. RNAcentral's name for it is "partial 23S ribosomal RNA". It matches the Rfam family "Bacterial large subunit ribosomal RNA", at positions 2746 to 2925 of the family's 2925-position model. The record is from RNAcentral. Lineage: Bacteria; Pseudomonadati; Pseudomonadota; Gammaproteobacteria; Enterobacterales; Enterobacteriaceae.